RNAcentral lists this non-coding RNA (419 nucleotides) under Hungatella hathewayi WAL-18680. Its description in RNAcentral is "Clostridium hathewayi WAL-18680 Bacterial large subunit ribosomal RNA". It matches the Rfam family "Bacterial large subunit ribosomal RNA", at positions 2505 to 2925 of the family's 2925-position model. The record is from Rfam by way of RNAcentral. Lineage: Bacteria; Bacillati; Bacillota; Clostridia; Lachnospirales; Lachnospiraceae.
UCGACGGAGUGGUUUGGCACCUCGAUGUCGGCUCAUCGCAUCCUGGGGCUGAAGUAGGUCCCAAGGGUUGGGCUGUUCGCCCAUUAAAGCGGUACGCGAGCUGGGUUCAGAACGUCGUGAGACAGUUCGGUCCCUAUCCGGCGUGGGCGUAGGAUAUUUGAGAGGAGCUGUCCUUAGUACGAGAGGACCGGGAUGGACUGACCUCUGGUGUAUCUGUUAGACUAUCAAGUCUAUGGCAGAGUAGCCAAGUCGGGAAGGGAUAAACGCUGAAGGCAUCUAAGCGUGAAGCCCCCCUCAAGAUGAGAUAUCCCAUACGCAAGUAGUAAGACCCCUUGAAGACGACGAGGUAGAUAGGGCAGAGGUGGAAGCAUGGCAACAUGUGGAGCUGACUGUUACUAAUAGGUCGAGGGCUUAUCCAA